GGCCGCGGUAUUCUAACCGUGCAAAGGUAGCGUAAUCAUUUGUCUUCUAAAUAAAGACCAGUAUGAACGGCUAAAUGAGGACAGACCUGUCUCUUAAGACUAAUCAGUGAAACUGAUCUCCCAGUCCAAAAGCUGGGAUAAACCCAUUAGACGAGAAGACCCUGUGGAGCUUUAAACCACCUACUAACAAGCACUCAAUGCACCUAGUAUCCGGUUUUAAGUUGGGGCGACUUCGGAACAAAGCCAAACUUCCAAGAACAGGACCACACACUCCAGCCACGGCCAACAAGCCUAGGUUAAACAACAUUAGACCCAGUACCACUGAUCAACGAACCAAGUUACCCCAGGGAUAACAGCGCAAUCUUCUUCAAGAGUCCAUAUCGACAAGAAGGUUUACGACCUCGAUGUUGGAUCAGGACACCCAAAUGGUGCAGCCGCUAUUAAAGGUUCGUUUGUUCAACGAUUAACAGUCCU
RNAcentral lists this ribosomal RNA (474 nucleotides) under Madascincus igneocaudatus (redtail skink). RNAcentral's name for it is "partial 16S ribosomal RNA". It matches the Rfam family "Bacterial large subunit ribosomal RNA", at positions 1929 to 2597 of the family's 2925-position model. The record is from RNAcentral. Lineage: Eukaryota; Metazoa; Chordata; Lepidosauria; Squamata; Scincidae.